UUAAAUUGAAGAGUUUGAUCAUGGCUCAGAUUGAACGCUGGCGGCAGGCCUAACACAUGCAAGUCGAGCGGAAACGAGUUAUCUGAACCUUCGGGGAAGGAUAACGGCGUCGAGCGGCGGACGGGUGAGUAAUGCCUAGGAAAUUGCCCUGAUGUGGGGGAUAACCAUUGGAAACGAUGGCUAAUACCG
RNAcentral lists this ribosomal RNA (189 nucleotides) under Vibrio parahaemolyticus 930. Its description in RNAcentral is "partial 16S ribosomal RNA". It matches the Rfam family "Bacterial small subunit ribosomal RNA", at positions 1 to 171 of the family's 1533-position model. The record is from RNAcentral. Lineage: Bacteria; Pseudomonadati; Pseudomonadota; Gammaproteobacteria; Vibrionales; Vibrionaceae.